This 273-nucleotide ribosomal RNA is filed under the name uncultured bacterium. RNAcentral's name for it is "partial 16S ribosomal RNA". It matches the Rfam family "Bacterial small subunit ribosomal RNA", at positions 523 to 796 of the family's 1533-position model. The record is from RNAcentral.
AUACGGAGGGUGCAAGCGUUAAUCGGAAUUACUGGGCGUGAAGGGCGCGUAGGCGGUCUAUCAAGUCAGGUGUGAAAUCCCACGGCUCAACCGUGGAGGUGCAUCUGAAACUGAUAGACUUGAGUAUGGGAGAGGAAAGUGGAAUUCCCGGUGUAGAGGUGAAAUUCGUAGAUAUCGGGAGGAACACCAGUGGCGAAGGCGACUUUCUGGACCAAUACUGACGCUGAGGCGCGAAAGCGUGGGGAGCAAACAGGAUUAGAAACCCAGUAGUCC